GAGUUUGAUCCUGGCUCAGGAUGAACGCUGGCGGCGUGCUUAACACAUGCAAGUCGAACGGAACUACUCCGAUGAGAGUCUUCGGAAAGGAUUUGGUUUAGUUUAGUGGCGGACGGGUGAGUAACGCGUGGGUAACCUGCCCUAUACAGGGGGAUAACAGUUGGAAACGACUGUUAAUACCGCAUAAGCGCACAGGAGCGCAUGCUCCGGUGUGAAAAACUCCGGUGGUAUAGGAUGGACCCGCGUCUGAUUAGCUGGUUGGCGGGGUAACGGCCCACCAAGGCGACGAUCAGUAGCCGGCCUGAGAGGGUGAACGGCCACAUUGGGACUGAGACACGGCCCAAACUCCUACGGGAGGCAGCAGUGGGGAAUAUUGCACAAUGGGGGAAACCCUGAUGCAGCGACGCCGCGUGAGCGAAGAAGUAUCUCGGUAUGUAAAGCUCUAUCAGCAGGGAAGAAAAUGACGGUACCUGACUAAGAAGCCCCGGCUAACUACGUGCCAGCAGCCGCGGUAAUACGUAGGGGGCAAGCGUUAUCCGGAUUUACUGGGUGUAAAGGGAGCGCAGGCGGCGCGGUAAGUCUGAUGUGAAAGCCCGGGGCUCAACCCCGGGACUGCAUUGGAAACUGUCGUGCU
RNAcentral lists this ribosomal RNA (634 nucleotides) under uncultured bacterium. RNAcentral's name for it is "bacterial SSU rRNA". It matches the Rfam family "Bacterial small subunit ribosomal RNA", at positions 9 to 642 of the family's 1533-position model. The record is from RNAcentral.